This 899-nucleotide long non-coding RNA is filed under the name Medicago truncatula (barrel medic). RNAcentral describes it as "long non-coding RNA (MTRU_LNC007841)". The record is from RNAcentral. Lineage: Eukaryota; Viridiplantae; Streptophyta; Magnoliopsida; Fabales; Fabaceae.
AUAACCUUAUAAUUCCGCUACCUAAGUUGCCAUAAUAACUAAAGUCAAAGAACAUAUAACAUACUUAGUAUCAAAUUAAUUCAAUUGUAUUGACCUUCACACACACAAACUGUAUAUAAAUACUACAUUCACCAUACUCCAUCCUGCAGUUUUGCAAAACAGUCUUUGUUUAUUUGCCUCUUCCCCUCCCUAACAUUAAUUUGUCCUAAUUAGUAAAGAAGCUUAACAGCUACAAGACUGUAUAAGAAAAUGAAGGGUUACUCUCUUAUAGUAGCACUUAAUGAAAUUUCUCUUAUCAUCUUCCUUCUCCUGGUCUCGUACUCCAUGAAUGUUCAAGGCAUGAGACCUCUGAAAGAUCAAUCUCCUCCAUCAUUCUUAAGUUUAAUAAUCAACCAGGCUUAUUCUGGACCAAGUCGCAGAGGACGCGGUCACUGAGAAUUAAGACUUUGAAUUAAAAUUCUUAAAACUUAUUUUUAUUUUAUUUUCUCCAUAGUAUACUACAAGCAUAAAUGUUGCAGUAGUUUUGAUAAUUCUGUUAAAUAUUGUUAUUAUGACUUGAAACUUCAUAGAGUUGGAAGUUAGCCAAGGGGAGACAUUAUGUUAGUUGCUUAUAACAGAAUGUAACCAAGUUAGUUAGUACGUUACUAGUUAGUGAUAAUUGUUAGGCCUACAUAAGGAUUGUAAUUGUUCAUCAAGGAAAUAAUAAAGAUAAUCCAUUCUACAAUUUACUCUCUCUAAAGUCUCUCAAUUCUUUAUAUAAUUGCCACUAUAUUCUUGUUCAUGUUUGUCACUGCAAUCAAGUUGCAGGUUUUGUUUAUAUAACAGAUUGUUAUCAGCAGCUCUGGUUAAUGUUUCAGGGUAAUUCAUCAAAGGCAAGGACGGGUUCUACUAAGUUCUAG